This 67-nucleotide small RNA is filed under the name Brevundimonas sp. Its description in RNAcentral is "tRNA-Leu". The record is from RNAcentral. Lineage: Bacteria; Pseudomonadati; Pseudomonadota; Alphaproteobacteria; Caulobacterales; Caulobacteraceae.
GGGGGUGUAAGGUGAUCGACUUAGUCUAGAACUAGGGACGGGGGUUCAAGUCCUCCCACCUCCACCA